Sorex fumeus (smoky shrew) is the source of this 149-nucleotide long non-coding RNA. RefSeq lists it as uncharacterized. The transcript has 4 exons. Lineage: Eukaryota; Metazoa; Chordata; Mammalia; Eulipotyphla; Soricidae. The record is from RefSeq and is a predicted model, not a curated record.
GAAGCUCUACAGGGACGUGAUGCUGGAGAUCUACCAGCAUCUGCAGGCUGUCGGGCACUCCGGGAUGAAGCCUGCGGUGAUCUCCUGGCUGGAAGGAGGAGCCCUGAGACAUGGGAGGAGAGGCGUGUGUGCAGAACUCAAACCGCAGA